Molecule: ribosomal RNA, 740 nt
Filed under: uncultured bacterium
Lineage: Bacteria
Description: bacterial SSU rRNA
Rfam family: Bacterial small subunit ribosomal RNA
Source: RNAcentral
AGAGUUUGAUCAUGGCUCAGAACGAACGCUGGCGGCAGGCUUAACACAUGCAAGUCGAACGCCCCGCAAGGGGAGUGGCGCACGGGUGAGUAACGCGUGGGAAUGUACUGUUUAGUGGGGGAUAACUUCGGGAAACUGAAGCUAAUACNNCAUACGCCCGAGAGGGGAAAGAUUUAUCGCUAAACAAUCAGCCCGCGUGAGAUUAGGUAGUUGGUGGGGUAAUGGCCUACCAAGCCUACGAUCUCUAGCUGGUCUGAGAGGAUGAUCAGCCACACUGGAACUGAGACACGGUCCAGACUCCUACGGGAGGCAGCAGUGGGGAAUAUUGGACAAUGGGGGAAACCCUGAUCCAGCCAUGCCGCGUGAGUGAUGAAGGCUUUAGGGUUGUAAAGCUCUUUCACCGAUGAAGAUAAUGACGGUAGUCGGAGAAGAAGCCCCGGCUAACUUCGUGCCAGCAGCCGCGGUAAUACGAAGGGGGCUAGCGUUGUUCGGAAUUACUGGGCGUAAAGCGAGCGUAGGUUGCUCGACAAGUCAGUGGUGAAAGCCCAGAGCUCAACUCUGGAACUGCCAUUGAAACUGUCGAGCUGGAAUCUCAGAGGGGGUAGCGGAAUUCCAAAUGUAGGGGUGAAAUCCGUAGAUAUUUGGAGGAACACCGGUGGCGAAGGCGGCUACCUGGAUGAGUAUUGACACUGAGGCUCGAAAGCGUGGGGAUCAAACAGGAUUAGAUACCCUAGUAGUCC